RNAcentral lists this ribosomal RNA (462 nucleotides) under uncultured bacterium. Its description in RNAcentral is "partial 16S ribosomal RNA". It matches the Rfam family "Bacterial small subunit ribosomal RNA", at positions 28 to 507 of the family's 1533-position model. The record is from RNAcentral.
GACGAACGCUGGCGGCGUGCUUAACACAUGCAAGUCGAACGGAAAGGCCCUGCGGGUUACUCGAGUGGCGAACGGGGGAGUAACACGGGGGUGAUCAUCGCUGCACUUUGGGAUAAGCCUGGGAAACUGGGGCUAAUACCGAAUAGGACCACGCGCUUCAGGGGGGGUGGUGGGAGGCUUUUGCGGUGUUGGGUGGGCCCGCGGGCUAUCAGCUUGUUGGUGGGGUAAUGGCAUACCAAGGCGACGACGGGUAGCCCGCCUGAGAGGGUGACCGGCCCCAAUGGGACUGAGAUACGGCCCAGACUCCUACGGGAGGCAGCAGUGGGGAAUAUUGCACAAUGGGGGCAAGCCUGAUGCAGCGACGCCGCGUGAGGGAUGACGGCCUUCGGGUUGUAAAACUCUUUCAAUAGGGACGAAGCGCAAGUGACGGUACCUAUAGAAGAAGCACCGGCCAACUACGUG